GUUCCUGACACCCCCACCCCAUUGCCCACCUGCCCAGCCCCAGGGCCCCUCAGCCACUUGCCUCCAGCUCCGGCCUAGGAUCGGCAGCGAGGCCUAGGAUCGGAGCAGCCUGCAAACUGCAGAGCUCUUCUCUCCCCGCCUCUCAGCUGAUCGGCGGGUGGGCCGGGCUUCCAGAGAGGCCUCCGAGUAGGCCUCCCUGAAGCCUGAACUCGGCAGGCCCCAGCAAGCCAGGAAGGAGGCUGGCAGAGCUCCCUGCAGCAGACCCUCCCUGCAGCAGACCAGACCAUCCAGCACAGCUUUUGCAAGGAAAUAAAAGAAAAGUUUGCUGCCUCCCCUGGUCUGAGCUUUGUCUUCUCAAGAACAGCUUCCAAACCUAAUCCUGCCUGUAAAGUAGGCGUAUAUAAUUUUCCAGAAAUUGUAGAUCAGGGGGCUGAGAGAUUAUAGUUUUCCAAAGGCCAACUGGUAACUUCAUGACAAGAUCUGAACCAAGGAUUUCCUGUUUCAUAGUUCGAGGGAUGCAGCUAGGUCCUGAACAAGCUCUGAGACAGGCUUCUACUGGGUGGUUGAUUUCCGGCAUGAGCCAGCACACAGUGGAGGAGGGCCAGGAGCAGGUGUGUUCAUAGAUAGGCUGGGGUUGGUACCAGAAGAGCACAGAAAGCCAGAGAAAAGUGUUGAAGUCAUGGACAGACCAGGGUUGGAUGACUUCAGGCGAAAGAGAUGACAUCAGACCAAAGAGAUGACAUCAGGCGAAAGGCAGGAGGUGUGAUCAAGGACAGGCUGAGGUCAGAGAUCAGAGUGAGAGGUUUCCACAUCUAAGAAGUUCUGUCAAGUACUUCUUGAAUAAUCCUAUUUGGAAAUACUGGUUCAUGUUCUCAGGACUGAAGCUAGAGGAUUCAUUGCUGAUUUAUGCCUGCUGAAGAUGUGUCCCUUUGCUUCCAAGCACAGCAGCAGUAGAUGGGCACAAUUUAAUUUCAAACUGUUAACCCAGGUGGAUUGAAAAUUGGCGUUAUCUCCCAUGGCUUAUCUCCAGGGACUUGGAAGGUUUUACUUAAUCUGAGCAUUGGCUUUUACAGAUGGCCUCACACAAGCACCAAAGCCAGCGCUUUAUCUGAAAGCAAGGCUUGGCUCUAUAAAGAAACGAUGUGGCUUCAGCAGCAACUGACACUCCACAAUAUACAACAAAGAGAUCACAUUGAUUCAAUUAUUAAAUUAAGGA
Hemicordylus capensis (graceful crag lizard) is the source of this 1216-nucleotide long non-coding RNA. RefSeq lists it as uncharacterized. The record is from RefSeq and is a predicted model, not a curated record. NCBI's taxonomy places the organism in Eukaryota, Metazoa, Chordata, Lepidosauria, Squamata, Cordylidae. The transcript is spliced from 4 exons.